AUACUCUGGUUUCUCUUCAGAUCGUAUAAAUCUUUUGCUUUUCACUAAAGAUUUCCCUGGAGAAGAGCACUCAGAGUUUAAGUUAAUUUUUUGUGGCUCUGCUUUAGUGGGGC
Molecule: small nuclear RNA, 113 nt
Organism: Carcharodon carcharias (great white shark)
Lineage: Eukaryota; Metazoa; Chordata; Chondrichthyes; Lamniformes; Lamnidae
Product: U5 spliceosomal RNA
Exons: 1
Source: RefSeq, a predicted model, not a curated record